GCUCAGGACGAACGCUGGCGGCGUGCCUAAUACAUGCAAGUCGAACGCUUCUUUUUCCACCGGAGCUUGCUCCACCGGAAAAAGAGGAGUGGCGAACGGGUGAGUAACACGUGGGUAACCUGCCCAUCAGAAGGGGAUAACACUUGGAAACAGGUGCUAAUACCGUAUAACAAUCRAAACCGCAUGGUUUUGAUUUGAAAGGCGCUUUCGGGUGUCGCUGAUGGAUGGACCCGCGGUGCAUUAGCUAGUUGGUGAGGUAACGGCUCACCAAGGCCACGAUGCAUAGCCGACCUGAGAGGGUGAUCGGCCACAUUGGGACUGAGACACGGCCCAAACUCCUACGGGAGGCAGCAGUAGGGAAUCUUCGGCAAUGGACGAAAGUCUGACCGAGCAACGCCGCGUGAGUGAAGAAGGUUUUCGGAUCGUAAAACUCUGUUGUUAGAGAAGAACAAGGAUGAGAGUAACUGUUCAUCCCUUGACGGUAUCUAACCAGAAAGCCACGGCUAACUACGUGCCAGCAGCCGCGGUAAUACGUAGGUGGCAAGCGUUGUCCGGAUUUAUUGGGCGUAAAGCGAGCGCAGGCGGUUUCUUAAGUCUGAUGUGAAAGCCCCCGGCUCAACCGGGGAGGGUCAUUGGAAACUGGGAGACUUGAGUGCAGAAGAGGAGAGUGGAAUUCCAUGUGUAGCGGUGAAAUGCGUAGAUAUAUGGAGGAACACCAGUGGCGAAGGCGGCUCUCUGGUCUGUAACUGACRCUGAGGCUCGAAAGCGUGGGGAGCAAACAGGAUUAGAU
Molecule: ribosomal RNA, 790 nt
Filed under: Enterococcus sp. R.M19
Lineage: Bacteria; Bacillati; Bacillota; Bacilli; Lactobacillales; Enterococcaceae
Description: bacterial SSU rRNA
Rfam family: Bacterial small subunit ribosomal RNA
Source: RNAcentral